This 466-nucleotide ribosomal RNA is filed under the name uncultured bacterium. RNAcentral's name for it is "bacterial SSU rRNA". It matches the Rfam family "Bacterial small subunit ribosomal RNA", at positions 917 to 1382 of the family's 1533-position model. The record is from RNAcentral.
GGGCCCGCACAAGCGGUGGAGCAUGUGGUUUAAUUCGAAGCAACGCGAAGAACCUUACCAGGUCUUGACAUCUGCAGAACCUCGUUGAAAGAUGAGGGUGCCUUCGGGAGCUGCAAGACAGGUGGUGCAUGGUUGUCGUCAGCUCGUGUCGUGAGAUGUUGGGUUAAGUCCCGCAACGAGCGCAACCCUUGCUAUUAGUUGCUAACAAGUUAAGUUGAGCACUCUAAUGGGACUGCCGGUGACAAGCCGGAGGAAGGUGGGGAUGACGUCAAAUCAUCAUGCCCUUUAUGAUCUGGGCUACACACGUGCUACAAUGGGCGGUACAAAGGGAAGCUAAGUCGUGAGGCGGAGCGGAUCCCAAAAAGCCGUUCUCAGUUCGGAUUGCAGGCUGCAACUCGCCUGCAUGAAGUCGGAAUCGCUAGUAAUCGCGAAUCAGCACGUCGCGGUGAAUACGUUCCCGGGCCUU